GGGGAGAGAAGACAGAGAGAAGGCAGCUGCAGGCCACCUGGCUCUUGAGGACUAAGGACCACUGUGACCUCUGUGUGCUGAAUGGACUGUGGGGGCGGCAUUGGAGGCGAAUGGACCGGUUAAUGAACUGUGGCAGCGAUGUUGCUGAGAGGUGACGGUGUCCCGAGCUGCGGCUGGAGCAGUGGAGAUGACUGCCACUUGAGAACAAAACCGCGUGGGACAGCAGUUUCACAGAAGAAAUAGACAGUUGCAAGAUGCCCAAAGUGAUAAUAUUAUCUCACAUUUGUUCCAGUGUUUCACAGUUUCUCAGACAUUUUCU
This 319-nucleotide long non-coding RNA is filed under the name Equus caballus (horse). RNAcentral describes it as "lncRNA (ENSECAG00000057644.1)". The record is from RNAcentral. Lineage: Eukaryota; Metazoa; Chordata; Mammalia; Perissodactyla; Equidae.